This 264-nucleotide long non-coding RNA is filed under the name Homo sapiens (human). Its description in RNAcentral is "HSALNT0284041". Lineage: Eukaryota; Metazoa; Chordata; Mammalia; Primates; Hominidae. The record is from RNAcentral.
AUUUAUCAUGAAAAUCUUUGGAAGAUCUUUGUUUUCUAAUCAUAGAUACUGUAGAGUUCUAGGACAUCACAGAUAUAAAGUCCCAUGUUCUAGAAUAAAUUUACUCUUAAAAAUCCAGGAAACUAAACCUCUCUCUCCUUUCUCUCGCACACACACACACAAACACGAAGUAGCCCAUACAUAAAACAGGCAUUGGAAGAGGUAGAGUUCCUCUGAUUGAAAGAGGAAGAAUAAAGAUUCUGCUCCCUCUUAUCACAUUUAGGC